This 106-nucleotide unclassified non-coding RNA is filed under the name Oceanobacillus picturae. RNAcentral's name for it is "yybP-ykoY". The record is from RNAcentral. Lineage: Bacteria; Bacillati; Bacillota; Bacilli; Caryophanales; Bacillaceae.
AAUAUUCCUAAAGGGGAGUAGCUGUACAAUUUAAGUCGUCAUUACGAGAAAUAUUCUCCGGCUUAUUUUGGCAACGGACGUUGUUUGCGAGACCUUUACCACUAAC